GACGAACGCUGGCGGCGUGCUUAACACAUGCAAGUCGAACGGAAAGGCCCUGCUUUUGUGGGGUGCUCGAGUGGCGAACGGGUGAGUAACACGUGAGUAACCUGCCCUUGACUUGGGAUAACCUUAGGAAACUUGGGCUAAUACCCGAUAGGAGCCCCUGCUGCCUGGGGGGGGGUGGGAAGUUUCGGCGGUUGGGGAUGGACUCGCGGCUUAUCAGCUUGUUGGUGGGGUAGUGGCUUACCAAGGCUUUGACGGGUAGCCGGCCUGAGAGGGUGACCGGCCACAUUGGGACUGAGAUACGGCCCAGACUCCUACGGGAGGCAGCAGUGGGGAAUAUUGCACAAUGGGCGGAAGCCUGAUGCAGCAACGCCGCGUGCGGGAUGACGGCCUUCGGGUUGUAAACCGCUUUCGCCUGUGACGAAGCGUGAGUGACGGUAAUGGGUAAAGAAGCACCGGCUAACUACGUG
This 467-nucleotide ribosomal RNA is filed under the name uncultured bacterium. RNAcentral describes it as "partial 16S ribosomal RNA". It matches the Rfam family "Bacterial small subunit ribosomal RNA", at positions 28 to 507 of the family's 1533-position model. The record is from RNAcentral.